This 253-nucleotide ribosomal RNA is filed under the name uncultured bacterium. RNAcentral describes it as "partial 16S ribosomal RNA". It matches the Rfam family "Bacterial small subunit ribosomal RNA", at positions 524 to 776 of the family's 1533-position model. The record is from RNAcentral.
UACGGAGGGGGCUAGCGUUGUUCGGAAUUACUGGGCGUAAAGCGUACGUAGGCGGCUUUGUAAGUUAGAGGUGAAAGCCCGGGGCUCAACCCCGGAAUUGCCUUUAAGACUGCAUCGCUUGAAUCGCGGAGAGGUGAGUGGAAUUCCGAGUGUAGAGGUGAAAUUCGUAGAUAUUCGGAAGAACACCAGUGGCGAAGGCGACUUACUGGACACAUAUUGACGCUGAGGUGCGAAAGCGUGGGGAGCAAACAGG